GGGUUGUGAGGUUAAGCGAAUAAGCGUACACGGUGGAUGCCUAGGCAAUCAGAGGCGAUGAAGGACGUGCUAAUCUGCGAUAAGCGUCGGUAAGGUGAUAUGAACCGUUAUACCCGACGAUUUCCGAAUGGGGAAACCCAAUAUCCAAUGGAUAUUAUCAUUAACUGAAUACAUAGGUUAAUGAAGCGAACCGGGAGAACUGAAACAUCUCAGUACCCCGAGGAAAAGAAAUCAACCGAGAUUCCCCUAGUAGCGGCGAGCGAACGGGGAACAGCCCAGAGUCUUAAUCAAUAACAGCAUCAGGAGAACGGUCUGGAAAGUCCGGCAGUAAAGGGUGAUAGCCCCGUAUCCGAAGAUGUUGUUAUUGUGAACUCGACGAGUAGGGCGGGACACGUGUUAUCCUGUCUGAAUAUGGGGGGACCAUCCUCCAAGGCUAAAUACUCCUGAUUGACCGAUAGUGAACCAGUACCGUGAGGGAAAGGCGAAAAGAACCCCGGCGAGGGGAGUGAAAAAGAACCUGAAACCGUGUACGUACAAGCAGUAGGAGCCCCACCACUAAGCUAGUGGUGAACUCACAGCGAUUCUUUUGCAUGAUAAUGUGCGGUAGACGGAGCGAAUGCGACGUCCAACCAACAAAAUCAAGCAGAGGAGGCUUAGUGGUGGGGUGACUGCGUACCUUUUGUAUAAUGGGUCAGCGACUUAUAUUCUGUAGCGAGGUUAACCGUAUAGGGGAGCCGUAGGGAAACCGAGUCUUAACUGGGCGAAUGAGUUGCAGGGUAUAGACCCGAAACCCGGUGAUCUAUCCAUGGGCAGGUUGAAGGUUGGGUAACACUAACUGGAGGACCGAACCGACUAAUGUUGAAAAAUUAGCGGAUGACUUGUGGAUGGGGGUGAAAGGCCAAUCAAACCGGGAGAUAGCUGGUUCUCCCCGAAAGCUAUUUAGGUAGCGCCUCGUGAACUCAUCUUCGGGGGUAGAGCACUGUUUCGACUAGGGGGUCAUCCCGACUUACCAACUCGAUGCAAACUGCGAAUACCGAAGAAUGUUAUCACGGGAGACACACGGCGGGUGCUAACGUCCGUCGUGAAGAGGGAAACAACCCAGACCGCCAGCUAAGGUCCCAAAGUCAUGGUUAAGUGGGAAACGAAGUGGGAAGGCUCAGACAGCCAGGAUGUUGGCUUAGAAGCAGCCAUCAUUUAAAGAAAGCGUAAUAGCUCACUGGUCGAGUCGGCCCGCGCGGAAGAUGUAACGGGGCUAAACCAUGCACCGAAGCUGCGGCAGCGAACGUAUCACUUAAAUUUGUUUGAGUGAGACACGAUUGACGGAACGAAGUGACGUCAAUGCGUCCAUGAAAGUCGAGGCGAAAGCCCGAUAAGCGAAUUUAAGGAUACGUUCGUUGGGUAGGGGAGCGUUCUGUAAGCCUGCGAAGGUGUACUGUGAGGUAUGCUGGAGGUAUCAGAAGUGCGAAUGCUGACAUAAGUAACGAUAAUGCGGGUGAAAAACCCGCACGCCGGAAGACCAAGGGUUCCUGUCCAACGUUAAUCGGGGCAGGGUGAGUCGACCCCUAAGGCGAGGCUGAAAAGCGUAGUCGAUGGGAAACGGGUUAAUAUUCCCGUACUGGUGGUAACUGCGAUGGGGGAACGGAGAAGGCUAGGUUGUCCGGGCGACGGUCGUCCCGGUUCAAGCAUGUAGGCAGAGUGAUUAGGCAAAUCCGGUCACUUAAUGCUGAGGUGUGAUGACGAGCCACUAAGGUGGUGAAGCAAUUGAUGCCCUGCUUCCAGGAAAAGCCUCUAAGCUUCAGGUUACCAACAAUCGUACCCCAAACCGACACAGGUGGUCAGGUAGAGAAUACUCAGGCGCUUGAGAGAACUCGGGUGAAGGAACUAGGCAAAAUGGUGCCGUAACUUCGGGAGAAGGCACGCUGGCGGUAAGUGAAGUCCCUUGCGGACGGAGCCGAAGCCAGUCGAAGAUACCAGCUGGCUGCAACUGUUUAUUAAAAACACAGCACUGUGCAAACACGAAAGUGGACGUAUACGGUGUGACGCCUGCCCGGUGCUGGAAGGUUAAUUGAUGGGGUUAUCCUUAGGGAGAAGCUCUUGAUCGAAGCCCCAGUAAACGGCGGCCGUAACUAUAACGGUCCUAAGGUAGCGAAAUUCCUUGUCGGGUAAGUUCCGACCUGCACGAAUGGCGUAAUGAUGGCCAGGCUGUCUCCACCCGAGACUCAGUGAAAUUGAACUCGCUGUGAAGAUGCAGUGUACCCGCGGCAAGACGGAAAGACCCCGUGAACCUUUACUAUAGCUUGACACUGAACAUUGAGCCUUGAUGUGUAGGAUAGGUGGGAGACUAUGAAGUGUGGACGCCAGUCUGCAUGGAGUCAACCUUGAAAUACCACCCUUUAACGUUUGAUGUUCUAACCUAGGUCCAUAAUCUGGAUCGGGGACCGUGUCUGGUGGGUAGUUUGACUGGGGCGGUCUCCUCCUAAAGAGUAACGGAGGAGCACGAAGGUUGGCUAAGCAUGGUCGGACAUCAUGCGGUUAGUGCAAAGGCAUAAGCCAGCUUGACUGUGAGAGUGACGGCUCGAGCAGGUACGAAAGUAGGUCUUAGUGAUCCGGUGGUUCUGAAUGGAAGGGCCAUCGCUCAACGGAUAAAAGGUACUCCGGGGAUAACAGGCUGAUACCGCCCAAGAGUUCAUAUCGACGGCGGUGUUUGGCACCUCGAUGUCGGCUCAUCACAUCCUGGGGCUGAAGUAGGUCCCAAGGGUAUGGCUGUUCGCCAUUUAAAGUGGUACGCGAGCUGGGUUUAGAACGUCGUGAGACAGUUCGGUCCCUAUCUGCCGUGGGCGUUGGAAGAUUGAGAGGGGUUGCUCCUAGUACGAGAGGACCGGAGUGAACGCACCACUGGUGUUCGGGUUGUCAUGCCAAUGGCAUUGCCCGGUAGCUAAGUGCGGAAGAGAUAACCGCUGAAAGCAUCUAAGCGGGAAACUUGCCUCGAGAUGAGUCUUCCCUGUCACCUAGAGUGACCUAAAGGAACGUUUAAGACUAAGACGUUGAUAGGCUGGGUGUGUAAGCGUAGCGAUACGUUGAGCUAACCAGUACUAAUGAACCGUGAGGCUUAACCUGACAACACCGAAGGUGUUU
RNAcentral lists this ribosomal RNA (3135 nucleotides) under Proteus terrae subsp. cibarius. Its description in RNAcentral is "Proteus cibarius 23S ribosomal RNA". It matches the Rfam family "Bacterial large subunit ribosomal RNA". The record is from RNAcentral. Lineage: Bacteria; Pseudomonadati; Pseudomonadota; Gammaproteobacteria; Enterobacterales; Morganellaceae.